AAUAUUGGACAAUGGGCGAAAGCCUGAUACAGCAAUGAUGCGUGUGUGACGAAGGACUUCGGACAGUACAGUACUUUACGGUGGGUGGAAGGGCAGUAAGAUAAUACCUUGAUGUUUUGACGUUACCGACAGAAUAAGCACCGGCUAACUCCGUGCCAGCAGCAGCGGUAAUACGAAGGGUGCAAGCGUUAAUCGGAAUUACUGGGCGUAAAGCGCGCGUAGGUGGUUUGUCAAGUUGGAAGUGAAAGCCCCGGGCUCAACCUGGGAACUGCUUUCAAAACUGGCUAGCUAGAGUAUGGCAGAGUGUGGUGGAAUUUCCUGUGUAGCGGUGAAAUGCGUAGAUAUAGGAAGGAACAUCAGUGGCGAAGGCGACCACCUGGGCUAAUACUGACACUGAGGUGCGAAAGCGUGGGGAGCAAA
This 420-nucleotide ribosomal RNA is filed under the name uncultured bacterium. RNAcentral's name for it is "partial 16S ribosomal RNA". It matches the Rfam family "Bacterial small subunit ribosomal RNA", at positions 360 to 772 of the family's 1533-position model. The record is from RNAcentral.